AGUAUCUCCUUCAAAUACCAGGUAUUUCCAUUUCAAGAUUGAGAAUUUGUACCUUUUUCGUUCACUUUUAAUGUUUUUAACAUCUGGGUUUUGAAGUAAAGUUCGCUUUGUUAAAUCGAAUGAAGUCAUUACAGUGGACUGUUUGAUGAGGUGGUGAAAUUGAACGUGGGAUAUUCUUGUGCUAAAUCCUAAUAUUGUUUUUUAAUGGAUUGCUAUUGGAAGUAGCAAAAUUUUAUUCUUUAUGGUUUUGUUUUGUUUGUUUUCGGUUGUGCUUGGUUGAUCUGGGUUUUAGAAAGCUCUGGGUUUUUAGAAAACUCUUUUAGCAGUGAAUUCUGAUUGAUCUGGCGUGUAUUAUCUUGAUUUUGUUUUGAGAUUUGGCUAUGAGAGGCAAUGGUGGGCAACUUGAUCAAGC
Molecule: unclassified non-coding RNA, 412 nt
Filed under: Hevea brasiliensis (rubber tree)
Lineage: Eukaryota; Viridiplantae; Streptophyta; Magnoliopsida; Malpighiales; Euphorbiaceae
Source: RNAcentral